This 528-nucleotide ribosomal RNA is filed under the name Bombus difficillimus. Its description in RNAcentral is "partial 16S ribosomal RNA". The stretch from base 376 to 528 matches the Rfam family "Bacterial large subunit ribosomal RNA", at positions 2473 to 2626 of the family's 2925-position model. The record is from RNAcentral. Lineage: Eukaryota; Metazoa; Arthropoda; Insecta; Hymenoptera; Apidae.
CGCUUAAUGAUAAUAAUUUUAAGUCGAUCUGCCCAAUGAUUUUAAAUUUAAUGGCUGCAGUAUAAUUGACUGUACAAAGGUAGCAUAAUCAAUUGUUUUUUAAUUAAAAACUGGAAUGAAAGAAUUAAUGAGAUAUAUACUGUCUCAUAUAUAUUUAAUGAAUUUAAAUUUUUAGUAAAAAUGCUUAAAUAAAUUUAUGGGACGAUAAGACCCUAUAGAAUUUUAUAUUAAUAUUAUAAUUAAUUAUUUAAUUUAUAUAUUAAUAUUUAGUUGGGAGGAUUGGUAAAUUUAAAAAACUUUAUUUUAAAAUUAAACUUUGAUUUAAGAAUAAAUAUUGAUCUUGUAUUAUAAAUUAAAAAAAUAAAUUACCUUAGGGAUAACAGCGUAAUAUCUUUUAAAAGAUCAUAUUAAUAAAGAUGAUUACGACCUCGAUGUUGAAUUAAGAUAAAUUAUAAACGAAGAAGUUUAAAAAUUAAGUCUGUUCGACUUUUAAAAUCUUACAUGAUUUGAGUUCAAAUCGACGUAAGU